UGGCAAUGCUCAGAGAGGAACCGAAACCCAAACUGUCAGUAAGCACAGAGUUACCACAACGCUUCAUCCUUCUCUGAGAUCGAGGUAAUGCUUCUGUCUAAAAGCCACGUAGCUUUUUUCAGUAUUUCUACUCAAAAAGGUCCUGCGACACAUCCAUGAUUCGGCGGUGAGAAAGCUAUCUUUCGGCCAUACUCACAUGAGACGGAAAAAAUCGGAACCAAGGUCAUGAAAAAU
RNAcentral lists this long non-coding RNA (234 nucleotides) under Felis catus (domestic cat). Its description in RNAcentral is "lncRNA (ENSFCAG00000047811.1)". Lineage: Eukaryota; Metazoa; Chordata; Mammalia; Carnivora; Felidae. The record is from RNAcentral.